This 253-nucleotide ribosomal RNA is filed under the name uncultured bacterium. RNAcentral's name for it is "partial 16S ribosomal RNA". It matches the Rfam family "Bacterial small subunit ribosomal RNA", at positions 524 to 776 of the family's 1533-position model. The record is from RNAcentral.
UACGUAGGGUGCAAGCGUUAAUCGGAAUUACUGGGCGUAAAGCGUGCGCAGGCGGUUUUGUAAGUCUGUCGUUAAAGCCCCGGGCUCAACCUGGGAAUUGCGAUGGAGACUGCAAGGCUUGAAUCUGGCAGAGGGGGGUAGAAUUCCACGUGUAGCAGUGAAAUGCGUAGAGAUGUGGAGGAACACCGAUGGCGAAGGCAGCCCCCUGGGUCAAGAUUGACGCUCAUGCACGAAAGCGUGGGGAGCAAACAGG